AGUCGAGCGAGGAACUUCGGUUCCUAGCGGCGAACGGGUGAGGAACACGUGGGCAACCUGCCCUCAAGCCUGGGAUAACUCCGGGAAACCGAAGCUAAAACCAGAUAAUCUUCUUUCUUCGCAUGNAAAAAGAAGUAAAAGAAACCCCUUGANGGAUGGGCCCCGCGGUGCAUUAGCUAGUUGGUGGGGUAACNGGCUUACCAAGGGGACGAUGCAUAGCCGACCUGAGAGGGUGACUGGCCACACUGGGACUGAAGACACGGCCCAGACUCCUACGGGAGGCAGCAGUAGGGAAUUUUCCGCAAUGGGCGAAAGCCUGACGGAGCAACGCCGCGUGAGUGAUGAAGGUUUUCGGAUCGUAAAACUCUUGUUAUUGAGGGAAGAACACGUACCGUUUCGAAUAGGGCGGUACCUUGACGGUACCUCAUCAGAAAGCCACGGCUAACUACGUGCCAGCAGCCGCGGUAAUACNUAGGUGGCAAGCGUUGUCCGGAAUUAUUGGGCGUAAAGCGCGCGCAGGCGGCCUCUUAAGUCUGAUGUGAAAUCUUGCGGCUCAACCGCAAGCGGCCAUUGGAAACUGGGGGGCUUGAGUACAGAAGAGGAGAGUGGAAUUCCACGUGCAGCGGUGAAAUGCGUAGAUAUGUGGAGGAACACCAGUGGCGAAGGCGACUCUCUGGUCUGUAACUGACGCUGAGGCGCGAAAGCGUGGGGAGCAAACAGGAUUAGAUACCCUGGUAGUCCACGCUGUAAACGAUGAGUGCUAAGUGUUAGAGGGUUUCCGCCCUUUAGUGCUGCAGCUAACGCAUUAAGC
This 811-nucleotide ribosomal RNA is filed under the name uncultured Bacillaceae bacterium. RNAcentral describes it as "bacterial SSU rRNA". It matches the Rfam family "Bacterial small subunit ribosomal RNA", at positions 60 to 865 of the family's 1533-position model. The record is from RNAcentral. Lineage: Bacteria; Bacillati; Bacillota; Bacilli; Caryophanales; Bacillaceae.